CAAACAAAGAAGAAAUCGUGGCUGUUGCAGAAGCCAAAAUCCGCAGCCCGCCGAGCCCAAUGAAUGAAUUCAUCUCCCUGGUCUGCUGCUGGGAGAAGCAGCUCACUCAGUGUGAGAAUACCGGGCAGCGAAGUCUGACCCACCGACACUAGAACCCAGUUCUGCCAGGUUCCACCAAGGCAUUUGGGCUCGGAGCCUCAUUGUUCUCACCUGUGAAAUGGGUGGCAUUGUGCCCCAGCACACAGUGGGCGCUCAGUCAGCUGCCUUGGCUGCCUCCCCAGAUAGCGGUGGGUGUCCCUUAGAGGAUCGUGGCCCGUCAGGUCCACCCAUCCAGACCAGCUUCCAGGAGGCCACAGGCUCCAAAGUGAUUGUCGCUGUGGGAGACGGAAGCUCUACCCUGCGAGGUGAGUGCUCCCCAGCCCAGAGGGAAGUCAUCAAGACCUUGCACCCAGAGUCCCUUCUGAGCUGCCAGCUGCAGUUCCAGCAGGCCGUCUCCGAUUUCCCAGCACGUGAUGUUCUCACCGUGGAGCCAGGCUUCGAUGCUGCUCUGGAAUGGAGAGCAAGAAGACCCUGAGCUGCCCGGAUCUUGACAACAGGGAGUGGAGGUUGGCCAGGUGCGGCCGUGUUGCUUGCUCUCUGCGCUUCACCAUUGGCCGCCACCACCACCUUGUUUGCCUGUUCGCGGCGGAUCCUUUGGGCUGGCAGGAAGGGGUGAAGUUGCGACGUCUCUUGCACGACACUCUCGUGCCCAUGUCGGCCUCCAUAGAGCUCAUCCUGGUGGAGGACGUGAGGCUGAGUCCAGAAGAGGUGACCACCUACAACCACCCUGGCAUCCAGGCGGAGCUGCCCAUCAGAGAAGGCACGAGACACUUCCUCAACACAGCACUGCAGACGUCGUCACGGUGGCCUCCCUGGAGGCCAGGGGAGUCGCCCUGGUGGGUUGGCUUUAGUUUCUCACCCAGGCCACUGUGUGGUGAGUGGAUUGACUAUUGGAAAAGCUGGCACUUAGUCACACCAGCUAUAACCAGCAGGGUCUUCAGAAUCUCCGCUUCAUUCAGCAACUUUGGUCAUCGCCGUGCCGCCUCUGUGAGUUUCAUUCCACAUCCACACACUACUCCCACUAUUAGUUACCUAAUGGUUUCCUUUCGAUCCAUCUUUUAA
RNAcentral lists this long non-coding RNA (1161 nucleotides) under Microcebus murinus (gray mouse lemur). RNAcentral describes it as "lncRNA (ENSMICG00000048252.1)". The record is from RNAcentral. Lineage: Eukaryota; Metazoa; Chordata; Mammalia; Primates; Cheirogaleidae.